UACGGAGGGAGCUAGCGUUGUUCGGAAUUACUGGGCGUAAAGCGCACGUAGGCGGCUUUGUAAGUUAGAGGUGAAAGCCCGGAGCUCAACUCCGGAAUUGCCUUUAAAACUGCAUCGCUUGAAUCCGGGAGAGGUGAGUGGAAUUCCGAGUGUAGAGGUGGAAUUCGUAGAUAUUCGGAAGAACACCAGUGGCGAAGGCGGCUCACUGGACCGGUAUUGACGCUGAGGUGCGAAAGCGUGGGGAGCAAACAGG
RNAcentral lists this ribosomal RNA (253 nucleotides) under uncultured bacterium. RNAcentral describes it as "partial 16S ribosomal RNA". It matches the Rfam family "Bacterial small subunit ribosomal RNA", at positions 524 to 776 of the family's 1533-position model. The record is from RNAcentral.